Molecule: ribosomal RNA, 376 nt
Filed under: uncultured Pseudomonadota bacterium
Lineage: Bacteria; Pseudomonadati; Pseudomonadota
Description: bacterial SSU rRNA
Rfam family: Bacterial small subunit ribosomal RNA
Source: RNAcentral
GACGGAGGGUGCAAGCGUUGUUCGGAAUCACUGGGCGUAAAGCGCGUGUAGGCGGUUUGAUAAGUCGAAUGUGAAAGCCCGGGGCUCAACCUCGGAAGUGCAUUCGAAACUGACAGGCUUGAGUACGGGAGAGGGAAGUGGAAUUCCUGGUGUAGAGGUGAAAUUCGUAGAUAUCAGGAGGAACACCGGUGGCGAAGGCGGCUUCCUGGACCGAUACUGACGCUGAGACGCGAAAGCGUGGGGAGCAAACAGGAUUAGAUACCCUGGUAGUCCACGCCGUAAACGGUGAGCACUAGGUGUAGCGGGUAUUGACCCCUGCUGUGCCGCAGCUAACGCAUUAAGUGCUCCGCCUGGGAAGUACGGUCGCAAGAUUAAA